This 136-nucleotide ribosomal RNA is filed under the name uncultured bacterium. Its description in RNAcentral is "partial 16S ribosomal RNA". It matches the Rfam family "Bacterial small subunit ribosomal RNA", at positions 355 to 508 of the family's 1533-position model. The record is from RNAcentral.
UGGGGAAUAUUGGACAAUGGGGGCAACCCUGGUCCAGCCAUGCCGCGUGAGUGAUGAAGGCCUUCGGGUUGUAAAGCUCUUUUGGCGGGGACGAUGAUGACGGUACCCGCAGAAUAAGCCCCGGCUAACUUCGUGC